Molecule: ribosomal RNA, 440 nt
Filed under: uncultured bacterium
Lineage: Bacteria
Description: partial 16S ribosomal RNA
Rfam family: Bacterial small subunit ribosomal RNA
Source: RNAcentral
CCUACGGGUGGCAGCAGUGGGGAAUAUUGCACAAUGGGGGGAACCCUGAUGCAGCGACGCCGCGUGGGUGCAGGAGUCCUUCGGUACGUAAAGCCCUAUCAGCAUGAAAGAAAAUGACGGUACCUGACUAAGAAGCCCCGGCUAACUACGUGCCAGACGCCGCGGUAAUACGUCGGGGGCAAGCGUUAUCCGGAUUUACUGUGUGUAAAGGGAGCGUAGACGGCAGUACAAGUCCGUAGUGAAAGCCCGGGGCUCAACCCUGGGACUGCUCUUGAAACUGUAAAUCUGGAGUGCGGGAGGGGCAAGCGGAAUUCCUGGUGUAGCGGUGAAAUGCGUAGAUAUCAGGAGGAACACCGGCGGCGAAGGCGGCCUGCUGGACCGUAACUGACGUUGAGGCUCGAAAGCGUGGGGAGCAAACAGGAUUAGAUACCCCUGUAGUC